AGCAGCCGCGGUAAUUCCAGCUCCAAUAGCGUAUAUUAAAGUUGCUGCAGUUAAAAAGCUCGUAGUUGAAUUUCGGGACCGAUAUAUCGGUCGUGCCUCGGUACGUACUGGUAUUUUCGGUUUCUCCCUUCUGACGAACCUUGAUGUCAUUAAUCUGGUGUCUUGGGGAAUCAGGACUGUUACUUUGAAAAAAUUAGAGUGUUUAAAGCAGGCUCACGCUUGAAUACAUUAGCAUGGAAUAAUGAAAUAGGACGUUUGAUUCUAUUUUGUUGGUUUCUAGGAUCGACGUAAUGAUUAAUAGGGAUAGUUGGGGGCAUUAGUAUUCAAUUGUCAGAGGUGAAAUUCUUGGAUUUAUUGAAGACUAACUACUGCGAAAGCAUUUGCCAAGGAUGUUUUCAUUAAUCAAAGGACGAAAGUUAGGGAUCGAAGACGAUCAGAUACCGUCGUAGUCUUAACCAUAAACUAUAGCCGACUAGGGAUCGGAUGAUGUUAAUUUUUAUGUACUNAUCGGCGCUUACGG
Molecule: ribosomal RNA, 520 nt
Filed under: uncultured Glomus
Lineage: Eukaryota; Fungi; Glomeromycota; Glomeromycetes; Glomerales; Glomeraceae
Description: SSU rRNA
Rfam family: Eukaryotic small subunit ribosomal RNA
Source: RNAcentral